RNAcentral lists this ribosomal RNA (1257 nucleotides) under Limosilactobacillus reuteri. RNAcentral describes it as "Lactobacillus reuteri partial 23S ribosomal RNA". It matches the Rfam family "Bacterial large subunit ribosomal RNA", at positions 1 to 1250 of the family's 2925-position model. The record is from RNAcentral. Lineage: Bacteria; Bacillati; Bacillota; Bacilli; Lactobacillales; Lactobacillaceae.
UUAGGUUAAGUUAUGAAGGGCGCAUGGUGAAUGCCUUGGUACUAGGAGCCGAUGAAGGACGGGACUAACACCGAUAUGCUUCGGGGAGCGGUAAGUACGCUUUGAUCCGGAGAUUUCCGAAUGGGGCAACCCAAUCAGCUUAGUCGCUGAUUACUUGACUAGUGAAUACAUAGCUAGCAAGAGGUAGACGCAGUGAACUGAAACAUCUUAGUAGCUGCAGGAAGAGAAAGAAACAUCGAUUCCCUGAGUAGCGGCGAGCGAAAAGGGAAGAGCCCAAACCAACGAGCUUGCUUGUUGGGGUUGUAGGACUGAACAUUAGAGUUACCAAAGUGCGACGUAGUCGCAACAGUUGGGAAGCUGUGCCAUAGAGGGUGAAAGCCCCGUAGACGAAACGUCGCACUCUCUGUUCAGGAUCCUGAGUACGGCGGGACACGUGAAACCCCGUCGGAACCCGCGAGGACCAUCUCGCAAGGCUAAAUACUCCCUAGUGACCGAUAGUGAACCAGUACCGUGAGGGAAAGGUGAAAAGCACCCCGGAAGGGGAGUGAAAUAGUUCCUGAAACCAUGUGCCUACAAGCUGUCGGAGCCCGUUAAUGGGUGACGGCGUGCCUCUUGCAGAAUGAACCGGCGAGUUACGAUUGCAUGCAAGGUUAAGGUGGAAAAACCGGAGCCGUAGCGAAAGCGAGUCUUAAAUGGGCGUAAGAAGUAUGUAGUUGUAGACCCGAAACCAGGUGACCUACCCAUGUCCAGGUUGAAGGUGCGGUAAAGCGCACUGGAGGACCGAACCCGUGUCAGUUGAAAAUGGCUGGGAUGAGGUGUGGGUAGCGGUGAAAUUCCAAACGAACUUGGAGAUAGCUGGUUCUCUCCGAAAUCUCUUUAGGGGGAGCCUUGAGGUAAAGAAUCGUGGAGGUAGAGCUACUGUUUGGACAAGGGGCCCGUCAUGGGUUACCAACUUCAGAUAAACUCCGAAUGCCAUCGAUUUAUACUCAGGAGUCAGACGAUGAGUGAUAAGAUCCACCGUCGAAAGGGGAACAGCCCAGAUCACCAGUUAAGGUCCCUAAAUAUAUGCUAAGUGGAAAAGGAUGUGGAGUUGCAUAGACAACUAGGAUGUUGGCUUAGAAGCAGCCACCAUUUAAAGAGUGCGUAAUAGCUCACUAGUCGAGUGAUCCUGCGCCGAAAAUGUACCGGGGCUAAGCAUAUUACCGAAACUGUGGAUGUGCACUAUGUGCACGUGAUAGGAGAGCGUUCUAAGGGCGG